This 752-nucleotide ribosomal RNA is filed under the name Septoglomus deserticola. RNAcentral describes it as "SSU rRNA". It matches the Rfam family "Eukaryotic small subunit ribosomal RNA", at positions 357 to 1125 of the family's 1831-position model. The record is from RNAcentral. Lineage: Eukaryota; Fungi; Glomeromycota; Glomeromycetes; Glomerales; Glomeraceae.
ACGGGUACGGGGUGUUAGGGCACGACACCGGAGAGGGAGCCUGAGAAACGGCUACCACAUCCAGGAAGGCAGCAGGCGCGCAAAUUACCCAAUCCCGACAUGGGGAGGUAGUGACAAUAAAUAACAAUACAGGGUUCUUUUGGAUCUUGUAAUUGGAAUGAGUACAAUUUAAAUCUCUUAACGAGGAACAAUUGGAGGGCAAGUCUGGUGCCAGCAGCCGCGGUAAUUCCAGCUCCAAUAGCGUAUAUUAAAGUUGUUGCAGUUAAAAAGCUCGUAGUUGAAUUUCGGGAUCAAGGRAUYGGUCAUGCCUYGGUAUGUACUGGUYUUWUUGGUUCUCACCUUCUAAAGAACCAUNAUGUCAUUNAUUUGAUGUUAUGGGGAAUUAGGACUGUUACCUUGAAAAAAUUAGAGUGUUUAAAGCAAGCUUACGCUUGAAUACAUUAGCAUGGAAUAAUGAAAUAGGACAUCAGAUUCUAUUUUGUUGGUUUCUAGGAUCGAUGUAAUGAUUAAUAGGGAUAGUUGGGGGCAUUAGUAUUCAAUUGUCAGAGGUGAAAUUCUUGGAUUUAUUACUAACUACUGCGAAAGCAUUUGCCAAGGAUGUUUUCAUUAAUCAAGAACGAAAGUUAGGGGAUCGAAGACGAUCAGAUACCGUCGUAGUCUUAACCAUAAACUAUGCCGACUAGGGAUCGGAUGAUGUUAAUUUUUUAAUGACUCAUUCGGCACCUUACGGGAAACCAAAUGUUUUNGGGNUU